GUCAGCAGGCGCUUAUUUCAGUCAAAUGGGUCAGUCCAUUCACAGACAAGACUUAAGAAAAUAUUACCUUUCUACUUAAAGAUUCCAGGAAUUGCACUUUCUGGGCCCAAAGCCUCCCUGCCUGCCCUCACACCUUUUCUACAGCUGCUGGGUCAGACUGAAGCCUGGGGCCGGCCUACACCUCUGCCUUCGAGUCUUAUCUUCAGUUGCCUGGGCUGCCUUCGGCCGGAGGCCCGCCUACCUGCCCAUGCGCCGUUCUUCAGCAGUCCGGCUGCCCGGCUGCCCGCCAUCAGCAGGCCCACAGCAAGAGUGACGGCCAUAUCGGAGUGGCGAGCAGCAGAGAGAGAGCCUCUCCGAGGCUAAUGGCUGAGAAUUGAAGCCCACCGGGAGAGCGAAGAUAGUCACUGCAAUAAAAGACCCAGCAGACUACAGCGGUUGAAGAUAGACCUCAACUGGGGAUCUGCUAAGCUGUUUGUGAAAAUGACUCUGUACACAGACUGAAACACCCAGAGAAUCUGCACCCUCAUGAAGCUAAAGUUAGAUAGAAUGAAACUCAAAUUGAGUAUCCUAAGUUCUGCACCAGGCAUUCUGCUACAUGUUUCUAGAACCUGAUUUUUCUGCAUUUGAAUUCAGAUUACUCAAUAUUCUGUGAAGAUGAAAGGGCUUAGACCCCAGAAAGCCCUGCACCUGCAAAAGAGACGACUGACAGAUAGGAUGGAAGUUCAUUGGCUUUUAAAUAAACUUUGCUGGAAAGCCUAAGGCUUGCUUUAUUCCUGCCUCCGAAGUUUCAAAGGAAAAGUUUCUCCCUGCCAAAUCCCAGGACAAAGAGUAAAUGACCUGCCUAUUCUCUGUCUCUGAGCAAAAGAGCCUGAAGGGACAUGGC
Molecule: long non-coding RNA, 883 nt
Filed under: Heterocephalus glaber (naked mole-rat)
Lineage: Eukaryota; Metazoa; Chordata; Mammalia; Rodentia; Bathyergidae
Description: lncRNA (ENSHGLG00000032153.1)
Source: RNAcentral